This is a long non-coding RNA of Betta splendens (Siamese fighting fish), 1575 nucleotides long. RefSeq lists it as uncharacterized. The record is from RefSeq and is a predicted model, not a curated record. The transcript is spliced from 4 exons. NCBI's taxonomy places the organism in Eukaryota, Metazoa, Chordata, Actinopteri, Anabantiformes, Osphronemidae.
CAUUAUUUUCACUCUAUAAUGGCCCUUGCCUUUUGUUGGUCCGGCAUUGUGUCCUACAAACUAAACGGACAUGUAUAAAAGGAUUGGACAGAACUUCUCCUUUCAUGUGGAAAUGAAUCCCUUCCAGGGGACAAAACAGCUUUCACCCUGGGUUCUACAGUGCGGGUUUCAGGCCGGCGCCUUUUCUCCUCCGCGUCGGAGGGAAAGCGGGACGGAACCGGGGAGCGAGGAGAACACCGAUAACGCGCGUCGACGUCGGGCGACGGCCAGAGUUUCCGAAGCGCACGUGCUUCUCGGGAACGGGAGGCGUUCACACCUGCACACGGUGAAGGAGGACGAAGAUUGAUGCCUCUCUGCCGGGCUUUAAAAGCUCAGAGGACACUUUGAAGUGGGGAGGGAGGGCGCUCCCUACUGAGGCCGCUCGCUCAACAUUUCUAUUGAUUUCAGUGGGUCGAGCAGGAGACCAGCAGCGAGGAGACCGCGUCCAGAUGAAUGAACAACUUCAAAGGGAACAGACCUGUGGCCAGAGGAAGCAGGCGACGAGGGAGCCCGCGACCGGUGAUCGGGUGUGUUAUGAUAACACUCGCAAACAUGCAGAGCACUAACAAGCUCCCUGAGGUGGCCUGAUAUUGUUGACGCGGAGCACAGAGCAAUAUCUUUCAAGGAAUCUCUUUGGGACUCGCCCGGCGCCCUGUGGGUUCCUGCUAUAUUAUGGCUGCUGCGUCUUCAAACUCCAAACUGCCGUAACAGCACCGCUAAUGAUGCGAGCGCCGCGCGUGGUUCGGAGCGGACGCUGACGGAUUUCGGAUCCGAUGACUGAACGUCGACGUCUGUGCUAUUAGUCGUUGGAACAGGACGUUGAAUUCAGUUGUUGCAGAAGAAAACGCGGAGCGUCUUUUAUUCCACUUUGCAAAUAAGCCUUUUGCGCAUAAUUACUGUUCCCCUGCGAGUUAUUAGACGUGUUUAACGUUAUUACAACUGGCAAUGAGAAGAUGAAAGACUCAAGGACUGAAGUCUGCCUUUUAAAGCUGAUAUCAACGCUCUACGACCACUCUGCUUUUAGAAGCGAGCCUCCGUCUGACCUCGGCGCCGAUCAAAGGGCUGCACCGCUGAACCUCGGAGUGGGAUGGAUGGCUUACAACAGCCCUACAGCGCUGGGCCAAUGCGGGAGCAUUGAUGACGGCGCGUGGAACUAUCGACAUGAUAACAUUUCAGUCUGCCGGGCCACAGUGGCACUGAGCUGCAAUAAAUUGAGACGAAUGAUCAGUCGAUGACAAUUUCCAUAAUCGUUAUACCUUCCGUAAUUCAUCAAGUGACAGGCGAACAGGAGGCCAUUACAGUUCAGCGCUGGCACCGUUUCCGAAGCAGAGGGAGCGGAGAGAGUCCUCUGCUUCCUGGCUCUGUGGAACAUAUCAAGAUUCAUCAUCACCGCAUCUCCGUCUGCUUGGCUUUUUUCCCCCCCUUCACUCAUUAACGACAUUCUUUCUCUUUGACAAUUAUUCGUUAUUAUUGGCAAGCAACAGCCGUAUGACUGAAUGUUGUGAUUCAAUUACAGAUGCAGUCAUUCAAAAUUAA